This 590-nucleotide ribosomal RNA is filed under the name uncultured bacterium. RNAcentral's name for it is "bacterial SSU rRNA". It matches the Rfam family "Bacterial small subunit ribosomal RNA", at positions 338 to 946 of the family's 1533-position model. The record is from RNAcentral.
CCUACGGGAGGCAGCAGUGGGGAAUCUUGCGCAAUGGGCGAAAGCCUGACGCAGCCAUGCCGCGUGAAUGAUGAAGGUCUUAGGAUUGUAAAAUUCUUUCACCGGGGACGAUAAUGACGGUACCCGGAGAAGAGGCCCCGGCUAACUUCGUGCCAGCAGCCGCGGUAAUACGAAGGGGGCUAGCGUUGCUCGGAAUUACUGGGCGUAAAGGGAGCGUAGGCGGAUAGUUUAGUCAGAGGUGAAAGCCCAGGGCUCAACCUUGGAAUUGCCUUUGAUACUGGCUAUCUUGAGUACGGAAGAGGUAUGUGGAACUCCGAGUGUAGAGGUGAAAUUCGUAGAUAUUCGGAAGAACACCAGUGGCGAAGGCGACAUACUGGUCCGUUACUGACGCUGAGGCUCGAAAGCGUGGGGAGCAAACAGGAUUAGAUACCCUGGUAGUCCACGCUGUAAACGAUGAGUGCUAGUUGUCGGCAUGCAUGCAUGUCGGUGACGCAGCUAACGCAUUAAGCACUCCGCCUGGGGAGUACGGUCGCAAGNUUAAAACUUAAGAGUAUGCGNGNGAGAGCGACGACGACGACGAGGAGGAGGAG